RNAcentral lists this transfer RNA (72 nucleotides) under Camelus ferus (Wild Bactrian camel). It matches the Rfam family "tRNA". From Rfam's summary of the family: Transfer RNA (tRNA) molecules are approximately 80 nucleotides in length. Their secondary structure includes four short double-helical elements and three loops (D, anti-codon, and T loops). Further hydrogen bonds mediate the characteristic L-shaped molecular structure. tRNAs have two regions of fundamental functional importance: the anti-codon, which is responsible for specific mRNA codon recognition, and the 3' end, to which the tRNAs corresponding amino acid is attached (by aminoacyl-tRNA synthetases). tRNAs cope with the degeneracy of the genetic code in two manners: having more than one tRNA (with a specific anti-codon) for a particular amino acid; and 'wobble' base-pairing, i.e. permitting non-standard base-pairing at the 3rd anti-codon position. The record is from Rfam by way of RNAcentral. Lineage: Eukaryota; Metazoa; Chordata; Mammalia; Artiodactyla; Camelidae.
GGGGGUAUAUCUCAGUGUUAGAGUGCAUGCUUAGCAUGCUCCAGCUCCUAGGUUCAAUCCCCAGUACCUCCA